RNAcentral lists this ribosomal RNA (490 nucleotides) under uncultured bacterium. RNAcentral's name for it is "partial 16S ribosomal RNA". It matches the Rfam family "Bacterial small subunit ribosomal RNA", at positions 30 to 507 of the family's 1533-position model. The record is from RNAcentral.
AUUGAACGCUGGCGGCAGGCCUAACACAUGCAAGUCGAACGGUAACAGGAAGCAGCUUGCUGCUUCGCUGACGAGUGGCGGACGGGUGAGUAAUGUCUGGGAAGCUGCCUGAUGGAGGGGGAUAACUACUGGAAACGGUAGCUAAAACCGCAUAAUGUCGCAAGACCAAAGAGGGGGACCUUCGGGCCUCUUGCCAUCGGAUGUGCCCAGAUGGGAUUAGCUUGUUGGUGGGGUAACGGCUCACCAAGGCGACGAUCCCUAGCUGGCCUGAGAGGAUGACCAGCCACACUGGGACUGAGACACGGUCCAGACUCCUACGGGAGGCAGCAGUGGGGAAUAUUGCACAAUGGGCGCAAGCCUGAUGCAGCCAUGCCGCGUGUAUGAAGAAGGCCUUCGGGUUGUAAAGUACUUUCAGCGGGGAGGAAGGGAGUAAAGUUAAUACCUUUGCUCAUUGACGUUACCCGCAGAAGAAGCACCGGCUAACUCCGUG